Molecule: non-coding RNA, 22 nt
Filed under: Arabidopsis thaliana (thale cress)
Lineage: Eukaryota; Viridiplantae; Streptophyta; Magnoliopsida; Brassicales; Brassicaceae
Source: RNAcentral
GAGGUUGAUCAGACUCCGGCGA